AUCUAUGGCCAUACCACCCUGAAUGUGCCCAAUUUUGUCUGAUUUCGGAAGCUAAGCAGGGUUGGGCCUGGUUAGCACUUGGACAGGAGAAAUAGAAG
RNAcentral lists this ribosomal RNA (98 nucleotides) under Jaculus jaculus (lesser Egyptian jerboa). The record is from RNAcentral. Lineage: Eukaryota; Metazoa; Chordata; Mammalia; Rodentia; Dipodidae.